This 552-nucleotide ribosomal RNA is filed under the name Triticum aestivum (bread wheat). RNAcentral's name for it is "partial small subunit ribosomal RNA". The record is from RNAcentral. Lineage: Eukaryota; Viridiplantae; Streptophyta; Magnoliopsida; Poales; Poaceae.
AUGGCCGAACUACUCCGCAAGCUACAACAAGAGAUCAGGCGGCACUGCACGAAGAGUCACUCCCUUGUCAUCACCGAGCAGGACCUCCCGGCAAUGGAGCACCUUAGGGCCGUCAUCAAGGAGACGAUGCGGCUGCACCCGCCGGGGCCUCUCCUUGUCCCUCGCGAGUCCAUGCAGCACACAAAGGUUCACUUUUACGAUGUCCCGCGUGGGACAAGAAUCAUUGUGAAUGCAUGGGCCGUCGGCAGGGACCCGACGGUGUGGGAUAACGCCGACGAGUUUCGACCAGAGCGGUUUGUCGACAGCGAGGUGGACUUCCGUGGGCGGCGUUCUCAGCUCAUACCAUUUGGCGCAAGGAGGAGGAUGUGCCCUGGGAUCGGGUUCACGACAUCCGUCGUGGAGCUGGCACUAGCGAACCUGGUGGGACAAUUCAACUGGACAAUUCCUACGUUGGAGAAUAAGGCGUCGGCGGUGGUGGACAUGGAGGAGGCCCCUGGGAUCACGUCACGGAAGAAGGUGCCACUGUGUGCCGUAGCGGCACGGCCGGCGUAG